GCGGCAUGCUUAACACAUGCAAGUCGAACGGAAAGGUCUCUUCGGAGAUACUCGAGUGGCGAACGGGUGAGUAACACGUGGGUGAUCUGCCCUGCACUUCGGGAUAAGCCUGGGAAACUGGGUCUAAUACCGGAUAGGACCACGGGAUGCAUGUCUUGUGGUGGAAAGCGCUUUAGCGGUGUGGGAUGAGCCCGCGGCCUAUCAGCUUGUUGGUGGGGUGACGGCCUACCAAGGCGACGACGGGUAGCCGGCCUGAGAGGGUGUCCGGCCACACUGGGACUGAGAUACGGCCCAGACUCCUACGGGAGGCAGCAGUGGGGAAUAUUGCACAAUGGGCGCAAGCCUGAUGCAGCGACGCCGCGUGGGGGAUGACGGCCUUCGGGUUGUAAACCUCUUUCACCAUCGACGAAGGUCCGGGUUCUCUCGGAUUGACGGUAGGUGGAGAAGAAGCACCGGCCAACUACGUGCCAGCAGCCGCGGUAAUACGUAGGGUGCGAGCGUUGUCCGGAAUUACUGGGCGUAAAGAGCUCGUAGGUGGUUUGUCGCGUUGUUCGUGAAAUCUCACGGCUUAACUGUGAGCGUGCGGGCGAUACGGGCAGACUAGAGUACUGCAGGGGAGACUGGAAUUCCUGGUGUAGCGGUGGAAUGCGCAGAUAUCAGGAGGAACACCGGUGGCGAAGGCGGGUCUCUGGGCAGUAACUGACGCUGAGGAGCGAAAGCGUGGGGAGCGAACAGGAUUAGAUACCCUGGUAGUCCACGCCGUAAACGGUGGGUACUAGGUGUGGGUUUCCUUCCUUGGGAUCCGUGCCGUAGCUAACGCAUUAAGUACCCCGCCUGGGGAGUACGGCCGCAAGGCUAAAACUCAAAGGAAUUGACGGGGGCCCGCACAAGCGGCGGAGCAUGUGGAUUAAUUCGAUGCAACGCGAAGAACCUUACCUGGGUUUGACAUGCACAGGACGCGUCUAGAGAUAGGCGUUCCCUUGUGGCCUGUGUGCAGGUGGUGCAUGGCUGUCUUCAGCUCUUGUCUGGAGAUGUUGGGUUAAGUCCCGCAACGAGCGCAUCCCUUGGCUCAUGUUGCCAGCACUUAAUGGUGGGGACUCUUUAUAAACUGCCGGGGUCAACUCGUAGGAAGGUGGGGAUGA
Molecule: ribosomal RNA, 1142 nt
Filed under: Mycobacterium tuberculosis
Lineage: Bacteria; Bacillati; Actinomycetota; Actinomycetes; Mycobacteriales; Mycobacteriaceae
Description: bacterial SSU rRNA
Rfam family: Bacterial small subunit ribosomal RNA
Source: RNAcentral